Long non-coding RNA from Armigeres subalbatus, 2683 nucleotides. RefSeq lists it as uncharacterized. The transcript has 3 exons. Lineage: Eukaryota; Metazoa; Arthropoda; Insecta; Diptera; Culicidae. The record is from RefSeq and is a predicted model, not a curated record.
AUUUUCUAAUGUUAUUUUGAAAGCUUGGAAAAUUUGGUAAUUUUGAGUGCUAAAAUAUUUAGUUCAAAUGAAAAAUAUUUGAUUUGAUAGUUUUUUUCUCAGUGUUGAAUUGUUACAUUUACAGUGAAAGCACUCAAAACAAAAUUUAUAAAACAUUCAAAUCAACUUUCAUAUUUCGCAUUUCUGGCAACACAGACGAUAAAAAAAUAAUGAAACUGGCAGCGCGCGGGGAUCUGUCAUUAUUGUAAAUCGAAAAAAGUUUCAUGUUUACCAAAUCUUUUUUUAUCGGUUAUUCUUGAGUACAAGUUGUAGCAGCAAGAAAUCCAAUCAUCCGUGCAAAAGUUCUCUGAAAAAUCAAGAAAUCCUGCUGAAGAAACCUUACAUUACUGAUGGUGCAGGAAGGAAGCUCAUCGACGACUAAAUUAUUAAGAUUGAUUUCAAGUGCCGUAAUAUGUUCGCGCUGCUGAAAUACCUAUGUGAUUCCUAUCAUCAGGAAAAAAGAGCCGAGAGAACUAAACCCUCAACUGUUGCGUUUGAUUAUCAUCGAUGAAAUUUGUCCGUGCCGCAUCCAGAGUUUUAUGUCGCCCGCACAUUGAAACUACAACAGAAUGUAACGACGUUCUGUCACUGCCAACUUAUCACGACAUCGUCACUGCCCGUGCGUGCCCGGCGAUUGGUCUGUUUUAUGCCGACAUCAGCUUCCGUCAAAUCGCCCUCAAGCAGCAGUAUAUUAAAAUCGAGAUUAAAAUGACAUCGUUUGAAGGAAGGAUGCAGGUUCGUAUCCAGGAGGGAAUCAAGUAUUGGUGUUCGUCGUGUCCGGCCACUCACAAAAGGAAACAUGUCGAACUGUCGUGCUAUUCGUGACAAAUGUUGUUUGAUCGUCAUAUUGCGUGCUUGUUGUAUAAUUGGCGCUUGAGUUUUGUACCGAAUCGUCGUGAUUUUAUUCCCGUUAUUGUUGAAAUUGCGUUCAGUGACGAUAAAGCCUGUAGCUGACUUCGAAAGAAAUUGAAUAUCAACGACUUGUAAUGCCUAAAAUUGUAUAAAUUGGAGAAAAAGAAUUCAGUUUGCAACAGUGAAACAAGCAUCCAUUGUUGUUAUUUUCGUCUCAUCUCAUCGAAACUUGCUAGCUGUAUCCCGCCUGAGUUACCAUCUACUUCAAAACAACGCGUUUAUUCAGUAUGGGUUUUGGUUGUACGAACUGCUCGCUGUCUAUCAAUGCUUUGCAAGAGCGUGUCGAUUGCCACGGGUGCAGUAAAGCAUACCACCUAAGCUGCACGAAUAUGAAUCCCUAUCAGUGGCGAGUGUGUGUUGAAUUUGAUAAUGUGCUCUGGUUGUGCGAUGCAUGUCUUUCUUGCUUCCGCAAGCAGCGAUCGAUAUCGAUAACGGACAAAACGGUCUUGAUGGAGAGAAAGGGCGAUAAACAGGAGUAUGAGUGCCAGAUCGCGCUUACCGUAGAUCGACUCCAAUCAGAGAUAUCUGUAAUUAAACAGCGUUUCUCUGAUUUACAACAAUCGUUGAACAGUAACCGCCAAUGGAACGAAAGUCUUGCAACGAUGCCUUCUACUUCGACUCCUGCCAAAAUCUACGAAAAACCCAAGCCUACUCUAAACUACGACGAUUCUUCUCGAUUGUUAAGGGGUACUAGAUCUGAUACCAACAAAGCUGGUUCCCGUAGGUUCUGGAUAUUUUUUACAAAGGUGGCCAAACAUGUCUCAACUGAUGCCAUGCGAAAAAUGGUUUGUGAUUCUCUGCGACUGAACCAUGAACCCGAUGUUAUUAAGCUAGUGCCACGCUGGAGCAACGUAGAAAAUCUGCGUUACAUAUCCUUCAAAGUUGGUGUUGACUGGACGUAUAAGGAAAUGGCUACAAUGGACUCAACAUGGCCAACGGGGCUGCUUUUCAGAGAGUUUGUGAAUAAUGAAAACUGUUACUGGGAGCCGUGAUACAAAUUUACAGUUAUGUUUUAUGUGUAGUAAUGCUUUGUUCAAUUUGAAUAUCACUAUCUGGUUGUCCUCAUUGUUGUUGAAGUAUGUCAUAUAAUAAUUGAAGUAUUUUGUAUAUAUGUAAUAGUAUAAGUUACGAUCAUUAGGGCUAAAUUGAGCCUGUUGGUCAUGAACAAAUAAAUGAACAAACUAAAAAUGUGUGGACCAAACAAUGUUUGUGAAGUUUCAAUCAAUCAACUCUACACGGGAGAAGAGCAUCCCCUACUGGGGUACUUCCGUGCUGAUUUAGCCCGCUUGAAAAAUACUGCUUUGAUCAAGUACGACGGCAAAGGUGCUAACCGAAAAAAUAUACCGAUACUUUCACUUGAUUAACGAUCACGCAACGUUGCCGCUGAAAUCGAGGCUGAAAUAAACCGUUACAAGGAGGAAACAGGCCAGAAAUCACCACCGGUAUGCCACCGACUAAACGGGGGAUUGCGUGCGAUUAACCGAUGGAGAAAAUAAGGAGUAUGAUGGCGCUGCUUAGUGCAGGUUACGUACGUCGUCAGUUUUGGCGAACCGUUCGAUUUCAGCAACCACCUGAGAUUUUCGGAGGUGGCAGCCUAAUUCCAACCACGAUUCCAGCUAUCAGAUGCUUGAUUCAGCAGAUUCUAAACAAGACAGCAAAUACUCCCUGCGUGCGGAUCGCUUGCGCAAUUUAGUGCCAUUUUCUGGUCUUCGAGCCGUUAUGUACAUAAAUG